This 692-nucleotide unclassified non-coding RNA is filed under the name Hevea brasiliensis (rubber tree). The record is from RNAcentral. Lineage: Eukaryota; Viridiplantae; Streptophyta; Magnoliopsida; Malpighiales; Euphorbiaceae.
ACACACACACACACACACAAUAUUUCUGUCUUCCUUUUUCCAUCUAUCUCCCCCUCUCCCGCAUCUCUCCUUGCUUCCAUUUCUAAACAAUACAACAAGUGUUUCUUAAGGACAACAAAAAUUCAAAGUUGGAUCAAUAGUCAAAAUUGAGUGUGUUUUGAAAAAUCGCAGACAAAAUAACAAUAGUAAUUUUGAAAAAAAAAAUAAAAAUAAAAAUGGCUUUUGUUUUAAAGGAUUGAUAGUCAAAAUUGAGAUGAGAAGGAAAAACCCAAAGUUCUUUCCAUCUCUUGGACAGCACACAAGUUUGGAUUACUUGUUUAGUCUUGAGGGAAGGGAAGAGGUGAGGAAAGUUAUAGAAGAGUAGACCAAACCAACACCAGCAAUUGUAACAAUCUCAAAGCCAGUAGCCAUUGAGAUUUUACUCACAACCAUGUAAACAAUCAUUUUCUGAAUCAGCAGCAACAACAAGAGUGCUUGCCUCAACAGAAUCAGAAAUGGGCACAUUUACCUUUGACCAUAUGAGAAGCAUUAAGGGGUUUUGAUGCUGAAUUUAAGUGCUUCCCCGAAGCUCCUCCUGUAUGGCAAGCAAGAAAGACAAGGAAGAGAAGGUUGCAGGAUAGAGCAAUUGCAGAUCUUGUGGGGCAGUGUUUGUUCAGCGGCUGGUAGUGGUGCAAGAGAGAGAGAGAGAGAGA